GGGGAUAACAUAAUUUUGGAUGAAUAAAUGAAUAUUUUUUUAUAAAAAUGUAAAGUCACCUUACUUUUUGAUCACACCUCGUAUGUAUAUAUAAUACAUUUCUUUUUAUAUUACAGAUAAUGGAACCAUAAUGAUGUUCAUUAAUGAAACGGAAAAGAAUGAGAAUGAUAACCUUUUAAUAUUGCGAUAAAGACACGGUAGAUGUUCCAGCAGAUUGCAGAAUUAUAAAAUAAUAAUCAAUCUUCCUCUAUCUUCUGUAGAGCUGUGCUUUCUACAACUAAAAGAAUAAUGUCGGUUCGACUGACAUGCAAGGCAAACAUUUUGACAAACAUAUUGUCCCAUAUUGUUCCAAUCUAUUACGUUUUUAGGUCGUAAUGAAGAUAAGGAAAGUAGUGGAUUGGAAAGUGGAUAUCUUCCUGCUUUAUACACUUUGCAAUAAGGUUUUCAAUGCGUUAAAUUAGAGUUCAUAAUUGUGCUGCCACUGCAGGAGUUCCAUAUACUUUGAGCACCCUUUACUGCAUUUAAGCACGACGUUGCGGAAGUUAAUCACGUGGUAUAUAUAUAUACGAGGUGUGUUCAAAAAGUAUCGCGAAUUUUGAAUUUUCGCGGGUUACGUAUAUUCGAAUUUCGAUCUUUUUGUGGCGUUAUGUUGGUACUCAUGUCUCU
Molecule: long non-coding RNA, 666 nt
Organism: Solenopsis invicta (red fire ant)
Lineage: Eukaryota; Metazoa; Arthropoda; Insecta; Hymenoptera; Formicidae
Exons: 3
Source: RefSeq, a predicted model, not a curated record